GCGGUGAAAUGCGCAGAUAUCAGGAGGAACACCGAUGGCGAAGGCAGGUCUCUGGGCAUUAACUGACGCUGAGGAGCGAAAGCAUGGGGAGCGAACAGGAUUAGAUACCCUGGUAGUCCAUGCCGUAAACGUUGGGCACUAGGUGUGGGGGACAUUCCACGUUUUCCGCGCCGUAGCUAACGCAUUAAGUGCCCCGCCUGGGGAGUACGGCCGCAAGGCUAAAACUCAAAGGAAUUGACGGGGGCCCGCACAAGCGGCGGAGCAUGCGGAUUAAUUCGAUGCAACGCGAAGAACCUUACCAAGGCUUGACAUGGGCCGGACCGGGCUGGAAACAGUCCUUCCCCUUUGGGGCCGGUUCACAGGUGGUGCAUGGUUGUCGUCAGCUCGUGUCGUGAGAUGUUGGGUUAAGUCCCGCAACGAGCGCAACCCUCGUUCCAUGUUGCCAGCGCGUAAUGGCGGGGACUCAUGGGAGACUGCCGGGGUCAACUCGGAGGAAGGUGGGGACGACGUCAAAUCAUCAUGCCCCUUAUGUCUUGGGCUUCACGCAUGCUACAAUGGCCGGUACAAAGGGUUGCGAUACUGUGAGGUGGAGCUAAUCCCAAAAAGCCGGUCUCAGUUCGGAUUGGGGUCUGCAACUCGACCCCAUGAAGUCGGAGUCGCUAGUAAUCGCAGAUCAGCAACGCUGCGGUGAAUACGUUCCCGGGCCUUGUACACACCGCCCGUCAAGUCACGAAAGUUGGUAACACC
Molecule: ribosomal RNA, 747 nt
Filed under: Arthrobacter sp. 2E4
Lineage: Bacteria; Bacillati; Actinomycetota; Actinomycetes; Micrococcales; Micrococcaceae
Description: bacterial SSU rRNA
Rfam family: Bacterial small subunit ribosomal RNA
Source: RNAcentral